This 113-nucleotide microRNA precursor is filed under the name Pelobates cultripes (western spadefoot toad). The record is from RNAcentral. Lineage: Eukaryota; Metazoa; Chordata; Amphibia; Anura; Pelobatidae.
AGUGACAGAGUUAGGAGGGAGUGACUAGUGACAGAGAGAGGGAUGGGGUGACUAGUGACAGUCACCCCCUCCCUCACUCUGUCACUAGUCACCCCCUUCCCUCUCUCUGUCAC